Molecule: ribosomal RNA, 775 nt
Filed under: uncultured Neocallimastigales
Lineage: Eukaryota; Fungi; Neocallimastigomycota; Neocallimastigomycetes; Neocallimastigales
Description: partial large subunit ribosomal RNA
Rfam family: Eukaryotic large subunit ribosomal RNA
Source: RNAcentral
CGUCUAUAUACGUAUAGCAUAUCAAUAAGCGGAGGAAAAGAAACUAACUAGGAUUCCCUCAGUAACGGCGAGUGAAGCGGGAAGAGCUCAAAUUUGAAAUCUUCAAGGUUCUACCUUGACGAAUUGUAGUUUAAAGAAGUGUUUUCUGUUGGAGUUUUGGUAAAAGUUCUUUGGAAUAGGACAUCAUAGAGGGUGAGAAUCCCGUAUUUGACCAUUAUUUCCAACUUUGUGAUACACUUUCAAAGAGUCGGAUUGUUUGGGAAUGCAGUCCAAAAUGGGUGGUAAAUUUCAUCUAAAGCUAAAUACUGGCGAGAGACCGAUAGCGAACAAGUACCGUGAGGGAAAGAUGAAAAGAACUUUGAAAAGAGAGUUAAACAGUACGUGAAAUUGUCAAAAGGGAAGCGUUUGACACCAGUGUUGUUUUCUCGAAAAUCAAUUAAAAAUGGCAGGAUUUUGUGUUGUAUUGACUUUAUCAGCUUUCUGCACUUUUUUCUUGUCUUUUUUAAUGCACUUUUCGUUUAACAAGUCAACAUCAAUUUCUUUUGCUGUAAAAGAGUCAUUGGAAGGUGGCUUUCUUUUCGGAGAAAGUGUUUAUAGCCUUUGGACUUCUGCAGUCGGAGAGAUUGAGGUCUGCAGCGUAGAUCCUUCGGGGUUAAAUGCAUUUGUGCUAAGUUAUAGCCUUUCAUAGACAACUUGUUGACUAUGAUCAGUCAUGUAGCUUACUCGCUUAUGUUAUUUUACCUACGCUUAGGAUGUUGAUCUGUAGUGCGUGCGC